AGGGACUAGAUGAAUGAUUAUAACAAUGGCUUUAGUGGCGGACUGGUGAGUAACGCGUAGGGAACCUGCCUAACAGAGGGGAAUAACAGUGAGAAAUCAUUGCUAAUACCGCAUAUGCUCACAGUACCACAUGGUACAGUGAGGAAAGGAGUAAUCCGCUGAUAGAUGGGCCUGCGUCUGAUUAGCUAGUUGGUUAGGUAAAAGCUGACCAAGGCAACGAUCAGUAGCCGGACUGAGAGGUUAAACGGCCACAUUGGGACUGAGAUACGGCCCAGACGUCCUACGGGAGGCAGCAGUCGGGAAUAUUGCGCAAUGGGAAGGAAACUCUGACGCAGUGACGCCGCGUAUAGGAAGAAGGUUUCCGGAUUGUAAACUAUUGUCGUUAGGGAAGAUAAAAGACAGUACCUAAGGAGGAAGCCCCGGCUAACUAUGUGCCAGCCGCCGC
Molecule: ribosomal RNA, 445 nt
Filed under: uncultured bacterium
Lineage: Bacteria
Description: bacterial SSU rRNA
Rfam family: Bacterial small subunit ribosomal RNA
Source: RNAcentral